ACAGCAACCAUAUGCUCCAGAAAUUUUUAAUCCAUAUACUCUUUCAUGGGCUACAGUUCGGAACUCUAUACCAACAAUUUUUAAUCAAGCAUUGGGAACAACCAAAGAUUGCAAGGAGAACUCACGAGCACAUCCCUCCAAUUGAACCUCACCUUGCCGAGGCCGUGAGGACUUGGUCACCUUGCCGAAUGAACCACCACCUUGCUUUGCCAUGCAUAGACCUUUGCUGCUCACCCCGCUUGCAGAAGCCACUGAGCAGCAAGGAUUGUAACUCCUUGCAAGUAUAUACCCAAGCUUUACAGCAGCAAAAUCAUGCCACUGCCCUUGCCGAAGCCUACAAUGCCCAAGUGUCCAAAGCUUGAGACAAAUCUCCUCCAAACUGCUAGACUCCAGGCUGUGGAUCUCGACUCCGAGGAUGGCUCACGAAAUCAUCGCCGAGGGGAUACAAGGAUGCUCGUGGCUCCCUUUCCCAAGGCCACCUUCACAAAGAUCGAACCCAGCUUCAGAGUCAUGCCGAAGGGCUAUGCGGAAAGCUACGAAAGAGCGCGCGCAUGCACGGCCUCCUCCCGAUUGUACAGCCACAUUGCCGACUAUGCAGCCUCCUUACCGAAGCCCAGCCUCUUGCAAAUCGUCUGCUCCAAUUCCUUGGUCCUCUCCGUCGGUACCCAAAAGCUACAGCCAAGUUCUCAAGAUUUUUGCGGAACGGCAGGAUCCUAGGCACGUCGCUUUCAAAGCCUUGCCAAAUCUUCAAAGGCCCAGCUCAUUUGCCAUCAGUCGGUGACUUACCCAUGCUUCAGCUCAAAGCCGUAACCACCCUCCCGAGCGAGAUCUUGCCAAACACUUCUUGCCGAUCGGCACUAUGCUGAUAAAACAAGCCCAGGUCCCAAUAUGGGAUGAAAAGUCAGAACACCAAAUGGCACACCCAUUUGCUCAAGCCACCCAAGAGCAUUGAGACACGGCCAUCUCCAUGCUCAAGCCACCCAAGAAAUCCCCGACCUUUUCCUGCUUAGACCUGCCGAAGGUUGAUCACCAGCCACCAUUGCCGAACGGCAAGGGCCGUGGAUAAAUUGGAGGAAGGCUCACGGAAGAUCAGAGCUCCAAUUCUCCGUCUUGCCGAAGCAAGCCCACUUACAACAGCAACUCCAAACCUGCCGAAGAUGUGCUACCGAACGGCAGGUCCUGUGGAGAUCCUUGACCUUGCCGAAACUUUGCCAAACCCUCCCAAUCCACCCUUGCCGAACGGCAAGGGUUGAGCAGAUCCAAUUGAGAUCCUCGCCUCUAUGCCAACUCCUCACCGCAGCCAAGGACAAUGAAGAGGCCCCCGAAAUUUUCCAAAGGACCUUGCCGAACGGCAAAGGUUGUGGGGCACAAGUACACGGCUUAGCAAACGCCUCGCCGAAGGAUUUUUUGCAGCCUAGCUCUUGCCGAAGACACCCCACCUCUUGCAGAAACACUUGAGACCUCACGAAAUUGGCCAAAACUGCCGAAGGCCUCAGCUCCAAGUUCACACCAAAACUGCCGAAAGCCUCAGCUCCAAGUUCACGCCAAAACUGCCGAAGGCCUCACUCCAAACACUCCUGCCGAAGACAUCCGUGUAAGGACAACAACAUUACCCUCAACCCACCCUUGCCGUUCGGCAAGGGUUGAGCAAGUCAAAAGGUGGAUUCGAAAAGCACUUACCUAAACGAUCGCCGAAACACCCAGACCUGAGGACCCAGCUCCUACCGUCCGGCACGUCAGCCCCUGGCCCUUGCCACAGCUCCCAAGUGCUGAAGCCAAGCCAAGCCCCUCCUACCACAGCCUCGAAGUAAUCCCAACUCACAACUGCCGAACGGCAGGGGCUACGGGGAGCUAUUUAUCCUGCCCUCUAAGUUCCAAACCCUAGGAACUAAGUAUGCCAAGGAGACUUGCCGAAGCCCAACUCCAAACCCUAGCAACUAAGUCAACACUUGCCGAAGCCCCUAGCUGAAGAGUGCCCAGACCAACUUGCCGAAGACACCACAGGCACUACAAAAACUUUCAAUCAACCAUUGCCGUUCGGCAAGGGUUGUGCAGACAAUAGAAGGCCCAGCUCCAACUAAGGCUCGGCUCCAAAACAAACUCCUAAGGCCAAGCUCCGUACAUAAGCUUGGAGGCCCACGAAGUUGCGCCACGCCUCCUUUUUACCAAAGGCCCAAACCCAACCUCCUUCCAAGAAAGAUCUUGCUGAACACAAACUAAAAAAAAAAAAAAAAAAAAAAAAAAAGCCUUGCCGAACGGCAGGCACUAUGCAGAAGGAAUAAAGGGACUCGUAAAGUCCUCCCCAGGACACCUUUGCCGAAGCUUUAAGGCCCUAGCCCCCUACUGAAGGUACUUAGGCCCUAGAGAAAAUCAUUCCUACUGGACCAUGCCGAACGGCAAGGUCCAUGCUCAGGCCAUGGCUUACAUCACGACAGAUUUCUCUUGCCUAACCCCUUGCAGCUCAGCUUCACAGAGCACAAACCCCAGGCCUUUGCCAAAGCCCAGCUCAUGAGGCUCACGUACCAAGAACUUGGAAACUUGCAGGAUCAAGCCCUUCAAGUUCUUGUCGAAGCCUUGAAGGCCCAGCUCCAAGGACCAGCCCUUGUCAAAGCCCAACUUGCGCAGUCUUGGCCCCCCUUGCCGAUCGACAAUGGUCAUGUACAUGGCCCACUUGCCAAGCGCUCACUACUUGCCUCAACUCUCCACACCUGGGUUCACACAAGUUCAAGCGACCCAGCCUCCUUGCCAAAAGCCCAAACUUUGGCCACCAUGGUCCCAGCCUCUUGCUAUACGCCAAGCCAACUAUGGUACCCUUGCCGAACGAAAAGGGAUUCGCUCAGGCAAAGUGAUGUGCUAAUGGGUCUCUCUCAUUGCUGCAGCCAAGACCAGGCCCAGCCCCACGUGGCCCAGUGCAUCCUACUUGCCGAAACAUCGGGCCACAGCCACAAGGUACCUAAAAAAAAAAAAAAAAAAAAGAAGCUAUUAUUAUUAUUAUUUCUUCAAAUAAUAAUAAAAAAAUGCAUUCUUGCAUUUUUC
RNAcentral lists this long non-coding RNA (3036 nucleotides) under Prunus persica (peach). RNAcentral's name for it is "long non-coding RNA (PPER_LNC006057)". Lineage: Eukaryota; Viridiplantae; Streptophyta; Magnoliopsida; Rosales; Rosaceae. The record is from RNAcentral.